GCGGAUAUAGCUCAGCGGUAGAGCGCAUGCUUACUUAGCAGGCACGAGGUCCUGGGUUCAAUUCCCAGUACCUCCA
RNAcentral lists this transfer RNA (76 nucleotides) under Camelus bactrianus (Bactrian camel). It matches the Rfam family "tRNA". Rfam says of the family: Transfer RNA (tRNA) molecules are approximately 80 nucleotides in length. Their secondary structure includes four short double-helical elements and three loops (D, anti-codon, and T loops). Further hydrogen bonds mediate the characteristic L-shaped molecular structure. tRNAs have two regions of fundamental functional importance: the anti-codon, which is responsible for specific mRNA codon recognition, and the 3' end, to which the tRNAs corresponding amino acid is attached (by aminoacyl-tRNA synthetases). tRNAs cope with the degeneracy of the genetic code in two manners: having more than one tRNA (with a specific anti-codon) for a particular amino acid; and 'wobble' base-pairing, i.e. permitting non-standard base-pairing at the 3rd anti-codon position. The record is from Rfam by way of RNAcentral. Lineage: Eukaryota; Metazoa; Chordata; Mammalia; Artiodactyla; Camelidae. RNAcentral also lists the same sequence under 1 other name.